This 112-nucleotide ribosomal RNA is filed under the name Parcubacteria group bacterium. RNAcentral also lists the same sequence under 1 other name. The record is from RNAcentral.
UCUCGGUGAUUUAGUUUAAUGUGUACCACCUCUUUCCAUUCCGAACAGAGAAGUGAAAUCAUUAAACACCGAUGGUACUUACUUUCGUAGGGAGAGUAGGUUUCGCCGAGAA